Molecule: ribosomal RNA, 468 nt
Filed under: uncultured bacterium
Lineage: Bacteria
Description: partial 16S ribosomal RNA
Rfam family: Bacterial small subunit ribosomal RNA
Source: RNAcentral
GACGAACGCUGGCGGCGUGCUUAACACAUGCAAGUCGAACGGAAAGGCCCUGCUUUUGUGGGGUGCUCGAUUGGCGAACGGGUGAGUAACACGUGAGUAACCUGCCCUUGACUUUGGGAUAACUUCAGGAAACUUGGGCUAAUACCGGAUAGGAGCUCCUGCUGCAUUGUUGUGGUUGGAUAGUUUCGGCGGUUGGGGAUGGACUCGCGGCUUAUCAGCUUGUUGGUGGGGUAGUGGCUUACCAAGGCUUUGACGGGUAGCCGGCCUGAGAGGGUGACCGGCCACAUUGGGACUGAGAUACGGCCCAGACUCCUACGGGAGGCAGCAGUGGGGAAUAUUGCACAAUGGGCGGAAGCCUGAUGCAGCAACGCCGCGUGCGGGAUGACGGCCUUCGGGUUGUAAACCGCUUUCGCCUGUGACGAAGCGUGAGUGACGGUAAUGGGUAAAGAAGCACCGGCUAACUACGUG